GGGCACACUUCACAGCUCUGUGAACAGAUGGCCAGUGAGCAACAGGCAGCAUAUGUUCCCGGUUGCCCCGGUUGCUGUCCUUGUUGCUGAGACUGGAAGGCAGAGUCCGGGCAUUGAUCCUGUUUCCACACGCUUCUGGAAGAAACAAACAUCUUGGAUUAGGUAAGUCUACCUGGGCCCCAGCACUUUAAGUGACAGGAAGAGAGAAGCAGCCAGC
This is a long non-coding RNA of Mus caroli (Ryukyu mouse), 217 nucleotides long. RefSeq lists it as uncharacterized. Lineage: Eukaryota; Metazoa; Chordata; Mammalia; Rodentia; Muridae. The record is from RefSeq and is a predicted model, not a curated record.